This 8558-nucleotide long non-coding RNA is filed under the name Triticum aestivum (bread wheat). RNAcentral's name for it is "long non-coding RNA (TAES_LNC018352)". The record is from RNAcentral. Lineage: Eukaryota; Viridiplantae; Streptophyta; Magnoliopsida; Poales; Poaceae.
UGAUACUAACUUGGCUGACUCUGUAGCAUCACGUGGCCUUUUUAAACCCGCCUCAAAAUGGAUCUCCAUUCUUCCUCCUUUAGAUUUUGUUAAUCUGUCAAGCAUUAUCCCUGAUGUCUGUGUGACGCCCGGAUAAUUAAGCUACAGUAAUCCCUCGUUAACGAUGCCACGUCACCCCGUUACUGUUGAUAAACUCUCGAUGGUUCAGAACCGAAACAAAUUCAAAAUUUAAAUAAAAGCAAACAACAAAAGUUUUCAGAUGUUAAAACUAAAAUGUUCGGAUCGUGACAAAUAUUGCGUAGGUAGUUAUGGUGAAGAAACAACAUUUUUAUAAAAAGUUUAAAUGCACUUAAAUGAUUAAAACAGUAGGUAAAACUAUUAAAUAAAUGCCUUUGAUAUUUUAUAAAAUCAUAAACUAUUUUAUCUUGAGGUAAAACUUUUUAGGGUAGUGGGUUGUUUUGGAACACUAAUUUGGAGCUAUUGUCAUGUUUUACUGAACUAAGAAUAAAGUGUAACUAAAAUAAAACAGAAAAGGAAAAAGAACUAAAACUAAAACAAACAAAAAAAAGAAAACAAAAUAAAAACAAAAGCCCCCCNNNNNNNNNNNNNNNNNNNNNNNNNNNNNNNNNNNNNNNNNNNNNNNNNNNNNNNNNNCGCUCAAGCCCCGCACCAUCCGGCGACCUGGCGGCCGUGGAUGAGCCGCCCGCCAGCGACGACCUCCGCCACCUCGCCUCCCCGCGUCGGCCUCGACAACCCCGGCCCGAGCCACCACCCGUGGCCCCAUCACCGGACCGCCGCCGCCCGGAGCUGACCUCGCCUGACGCUGCCCCGCCGUCGCCGCGUCCCCGUCCUCCUCCCCGCCGGACUGCGUCCGCCUCCCCGACACGGCGACGACGCCUCGUCCCCAUCCUCCUCCACAACGGUCGCCCCGAGCCUCGCCGCCCCGCUUCUCUCCAACGCCGGUGAGGCCACCUCCGGCCUCCAGUCCCUUCUCCCUUCCCCGCGCCGUACCCGCCCGCUGCCCGCCUCGCAUCGCCCCACCGCGCCUGUUCCGGUAGCCGCCCGUGCCGCCGCGGAUGUCGACUCCGCCGUCGACGCCGGCCAAGUCCGGCCGCCCCGCGACCACCGGUCGACGUGGUCGCCCCCUAGCUACCCAUCGGUCCCCUUCGCGCAUCGAACCGACGCCCGUAGCGCAAGCCCCGACGGGUUCCCGCGUUGCUGCCGUCGCCGGCGCACUGUAACUCCUCGCCGGCGUUAACCACGAUGACGUGGACGUCAUUAACCCCCCUAACCAAAUCCCUAACAGCCACUGACAUCGGACCCCACAGUCCUAAUUAAUCUCAUCGGUUUUGUUUAAAAGUCUGUUAAACAAAUCACUCAAUGACACUCGGGCCCCACUGGGCCCUUUGACCAGUCAAACUACUGACUAGGACUAGCCCAGUCAAUGGUAGGUGGGACCCCGUGGCCCACUUUGACCAGUCAACAGGGACCAGCCAACUGCUGACUGAGCAGUCAACUGGGACCCACUGUCAUCCUCACAUACAAAUAGCUGGGUACACUCUCUGUGUACCCGUAGCAAAUUAACAUUUAAUUUCGAAUUAAAACAAUUUAGAAAAUGUUUUAAAACUUUAAAUAUUAAUAAUAAAUAAUAAAAAUAAUAAAAUAAAUAAAUAAUUAAAAUAAUAAUAAUAAAGAUAAUUAAUUAACUUAAUUAAUUAACUUAAUUAAUCCUGUUAAGUUAAACUAAUUAAACUUAAUUAACCUAAUAACUAGUUAACCUAAUUAAUCACUGUUAAUUAGCUAAACAGUCCAAAUUUCGAAUUAAAUUAAAUAAUUAAUUAAAUUCCAGAAAUUAAUAAAAUCUUUAGAAAAUCAUAUCUUUUAAUCCGUAACUCGGAUUAAAAUANNNNNNNNNNNNNNNNNNNNNNNNNNNNNNNNNNNNNNNNNNNNNNNNNNNNNNNNNNNNNNNNNNNNNNNNNNNNNNNNNNNNNNNNNNNNNNNNNNNNNNNNNNNNNNNNNNNNNNNNNNNNNNNNNNNNNNNNNNNNNNNNNNNNNNNNNNNNNNNNNNNNNNNNNNNNNNNNNNNNGAUGUCAUAAAUCCAAAUUUCGAAUUAAAUUAAAUAAUUAAUUAAAUUCCAGAAAUUAAUAAAAUCUUUAGAAAAUCAUAUCUUUUAAUCCGUAACUCGGAUUAAAAUAUUUUCAACAUGAAAGUUGCUCAGAAUGACGAGACGAAUCCGGAUACGCAGUCCGUUCGUCCACCACACCUCCCUAACCUAUCGAACUCGCAACUUGCCCCCUCCGGUCCGUCUGUCCGAAAACGCGAAACAUCGGGAAUACUUUCCCGGAUGUUCCCCCUUCGCCGGUACCACCUACUGUCGCGUUAGGACACACCUCGCACUGUUCAUUGUCAUGUCACGCAUCGUCAUGCUUAUGUUUGCAUUGUAUUUACUGUUUCUUCCCCCCUCUUCUCUCCGGUAGACUACGAGACCGACACUGCUGCUGCCCAGUUCGACUACGGAGUUGACGACCCCUCCUACUUGCCAGAGCAACCAGGCAAGCCCCCCCCUUGAUCACCAGAUAUCGCCUAUUCUUCUCUAUACUGAUUGCAUUAGAGUAGAGUAGCAUGUUACUGCUUUUCGAUAUCCUAUCCUGAUGCAUAGCCUAUCCUUGCUACUACUGUUGAUACCUUUACCUGCAAUCCUACAUGCUUAGUAUAGGAUGCUAGAUUUCCAUCAGUGGCCCUACAUUCUUGUCCGUCUGCUGUGCUAUACUAUCGGGCCGUGAUCACCUGGGCGGUGAUCACGGGUAUAUACUAUAUACAUUAUAUACAUGACACAUGUGGUGACUAAAGUCGGUUCGGCUCGAGGAGUACCCGCAAGUGAUUCUGAUGAGGGGGCUGAAAGGACAGGUGGCUCCACCCCGGUAGAGGUGGGCCUGGGUUCCUGACGGCCCCCGACUGUUACUUUGUGGCGGAGCGACAGGGCAGGUUGAGACCACCUAGGAGAGAGGUGGGCCUGGCCCUGGUCGGCGUUCGCGGAUACUUAACACGCUUAACGAGUUCUUGGUAUUUGAUCUGAGUCUGGCCAUUUGGUCUAUACGCACUAACCAUCUACGCGGGAGUAGUUAUGGGUAUCCCGGCGUCGUGGUAUCAGCCGAAGCCUUCUUGACGUCAGCGACUGAGUGGCGCGCGCCGGAUUGGACUGGAACGCCACUAGGCUAGGUCUGCUUCCGGCCGCGUACGCAACGUGCAGGUGUGCAUAGGGCGAUGGGCCCAGACCCCUGCGCGCAUAGGGUUAGACCGGCGUGCUGACCUCUCUGUUGUGCUUAGGUGGGGCUGCGACUCGUUGAUCUUACGAGGCCGGGCAUGACCCAGAAAAGUGUGUCCGGCCAAAUGGGAUCGAGCGUGUUGGGUUAUGUGGUGCACCCUUGCAGGGAAGUUUAUCUAUUCGAAUAGCCGUGUCCCUCGGUAAAAGGACGACCCGGAGUUGUACCUUGACCUUAUGACAACUAGAACUGGAUACUGAAUAAAAUACACCCUUCCAAGUGCCAGAUACAACCCGGUGAUCGCUCUCUAACAGGGCGACGAGGAGGGGAUCGCCGUGUAGGAUUAUGCUAUGCGAUGCUACUUGGAGGACUUCAAUCUUCUCUCUUCUACAUGUUGCAAGAUGGAGGCUGCCAGAAGCGUAGUCUUCGAUAGGAUUAGCUAUCCCCCUCUUAUUUUGGCAUUCUGCAGUCCAGUCCACUGAUAUGGCCCUUUACACAUAUACACAUGCAUAUGUAGUGUAGCUCCUUGCUUGCAAGUACUUUGGAUGAGUACUCACGAUUGCUUUUCUCCCUCUUUUCCCCUUUCUAUACCUGAUUGUCGCAACCAGAUGCUGGAGUCCAGGAGCUAGAGAUCCCGAGGAUGAUUCUACAUGGAGUUCGGCUUCGAGGAGUAGUUAGGAGGUCCCAGGCAGGAGGCCUUGCCUUUUCGAUCGUUGCUACUUUGUGCUAACCUUCUUAAGGCAAACUUGUUUAACUUAUGUCUGUACUCAGAUAUUGUUGCUUCCGCUGACUCGUCUGUGAUCGAGCACUUGUAUUCGAGCCCUCGAGGCCCCUGGCUUGUAUUAUAAUGCUUGUAUGACUUAUUUUUGUUUUAGAGUUGUGUUGUGAUAUCUUCCCGUGAGUCCCUGAUCUUGAUCGUACACAUUUGCGUGCAUGAUUAGUGUACGGUCAAAUCGGGGGCGUCACGUGAAGACCCUUAAGAUACUCUCCGCUGAUAACCCGAGAACUUGUGUUUAUCGCUUUUGGAAUUCCCUUUCAUCGAUAAACUCCUAUGGAUAACCACGUAUACUCGCCACUCAUACAAUGUUUCCCAGUUGAUCUUGUUAUUACAAGAUACCCCGAAAUUCUCUUUGCUGCUCCGAGAAUCUUUUGAGCUUACUGCCUUGCUGUUCUUUGCCACAUGAAUACCACUACGGAUAAUUUCUCGCACUUACCGAGUAUCCGGUCAUCCCCAGUUGAUUCAAGUAUUCCACAAUAGUCUUCAAAAUACUAUUCGAUCUUUCGAAAAUCCUCAGGAGCCUAUUGCUCUUGAAAUUCUUGUUUGCUUGCAUUAUGGUUAAUCCCAUAAGUCUCGUAAUCUUAUUGGCAUCUCUUGUCAUUAUCAUUUUGAGUCCGUUGAUUCAAUUUGUUGCGAAUGCUCUCAAUCCUCAAUCAUAUCCUAGAAUUCAUUCUUCCGGCUCAGACGACAUUUUAAACGUGAACUGGAUCUCGACCUAUCAAAUUGCCAUCGAUUGUACCCCUAAGCCUACUCAACUUAUCCAUCCUUGAUCAGAGCGUUGCUUCUGACCCCAUGAUUUGGACAUCAUAAUUCUUUUGCAUUUGAACUUUGAGUUAGUCAGUUGCUUCUAUAAUCAGAUCUCCUUGCAUUCUCCUUCCUCUGGUUGAGUACCGAUGCUCACAUCAGAUCCCUUGUGGACCAUCGGUUCCUUUGUUGGAUUUUAUCCGACAGUGUCCUUCAUAAUGAAUAACCUUGUGAGCCUUUCCAUGGGUAUAUAAUGCCUUUGGUAAAUUGUAUCAUCUGUUUUUGAACAAUGCUCUUCUUUCGAGCUUGUAAUAUUUAGUCCGAAGUUUGUGGUAUAUGUUCCUAAGAUGCCUUGAUGGGUUGAACCUAUACCUUCCCUAAAAACCGUAUGAACCCGAAGGUUUUCACAAGCCAUACCCUUCUGGUAUUUUACCAGAUAAUUUUCUACCAUACAACUUCAUCGAACGCGAGAAGUGAAUGAAAGGUUAUGCAUUGAAGAAGUGGGAGUCGACCUUGAACUUUGCGUUCAUGCCCAUGGACCCGAUGAAGAUCUUAUCAUUAAAGCUUUUCUUAAAUUAAAUUGUUCCAUUGGUAUAAGUUCAUCUUAUAUCUGGGAUCUGGCCUUUUUCAAUCAUGGUUCCGACCAUGUUCUCUUUUAAAUACCAUUUCUCAUACAAGUUGAGCACUUGUCUUCUGCAGAGCAAUACCCUAGUCCAGCCUCUACCUUGACCUGUCAUCGAGUAUUACCCCCUGGUAUCUGGAGAUUAUCAUGGAACUGCAUAACUUCUUAUGAGUUCUUCAUCAAGUGCUACAUUCUCACUGAUUCCAAUUUUCCACGGGCUCUGAGUUAUUAGUCACUCGAGAACACCGACAAGUGAAUCGAUUCCGCACUCCGAUUCAAUAACUCUAAGUAAUUCUUGUUGCUUACGAGUUUAAUAAUCUUUCAAGUCAUUACUAGCCUUAUCGGCUAUAUCCUUAUCGUGAAAACUUUUUAACUGUGCUACCCGGUCCUUCCCGGAACACAACUUUCGAUGAUGAGCUAAGCUUACGUCGAUCUUCCUCGUCAUAUUAGUUCGCCUUGAACAACAAGCUUGAUUUCAAGUUUGUGCCGUACCCUUGGUUCCAUUAACCUAUCGCUUUCAUCAUUCCUCUGACUUGAUGUCAUCGCCGAUAGAUUACAUCUUCAUGAAAUCUCUUGACAAAUGUGUCGUGAUCAGCACCAACAUUUUGAGCUCUUCCAGGAUAUCAGUCGAAAUUCAGGAUGAGAAAUACCAUCCUUGCCCCUCGAUGAUUUGUGUUAUCAUCGGCAACGUUAUUGCCCCCCCACUCCAAUUCAGACUUGAUCAUGAUAUGGAGCUCUUUCCUAUCUAGCUUAUGUUAUGUUCUACAUUGAAGUAUUACUGUCCUUCAGGUUAAGGAUAUUGUGAGAAUUUCUCCACCUCUUGAGAAUUCUUGAUAUAGUAAUACUUCUCGCCAUCUCCAUUUGUUUUAUGAUCCCCGUGUUGUUUCUAACCUGAAUACCGACAAUUGAACUAUGAUGUGCGACUUCAAAACUUCUAGCAACCCUAUUGCUUUGAAGUUAAUGGUCGAUAUUUCAUUCUUAGACCAUUGGUUAUCGAAUCACCGUUCUAACAUUGAUCAUUCUACCUAAGCCCAUAUUCGGGUGCACCUAACAACCAAUGUUUAGCUGUGUAUGUUUUCCUCGAGCAUACAUCAUUAAGUCAUUCGAUCUAGCUAAUGUUAUCUCCUUGUUCACAUAGUGGUGGAAAUCCAUCUUUUGGAAAUCUCAAUGGAUUGUCGCUGAGUCAAUCAGUCACCUCCUCACCUCUCCUUGAUGAAAUGAACCCUUGUUCGGAACUCGCUUCCAUAGUUCAUCUCCCGAGAAUCUUCGAUGUCGUUUCGACAAUUUGUGUUGCACCUUUCUUCUCAGGCAUCCCGAGUCUGAGUUAUCCUGACACCAAUCAGAUCUGAAUCUCGGUCAGAUAUGAUGGUUGGAACAUAUUUCCAAGAGUUAUAACAUUGGCCUAUUUAUGACCCGGUAAGGUGAUGAUACCCAGCACACCUGACGGGAGGACCUAUUGCUAUAAGUUUUCCCUUUUAGCAAGGUUAGCUGUUGUUCCAUAAGGAAAUUGUAAGACUUAUUCUAUAAGUUGUUCCUGAUGGAUCCUUUUUGUUUCCAAAGUCUAAUCUUCACCUGUUGACCAUGUCAAUGCUACCUCGAAGCAUGUCUAUGCUACUCCGAUUUUCAACAGGAACAUUUGAAGCCCAAUGCUAAAUGUUUCCUGCUCAAUUAUCCAAACACCAUUGUAUGGGUAAUGCCAUGAAAUUUCUCUCCCCUACCUAAAGAGUUUUCUACAUUAUAUCCUGUCAUGAAUAUCAUACUCAGCUUGUCCUUGGGAAGGAUAUAACCUUGAAAUAUGUGUUUAAACACAUUUUCCUUUCCAUUCUUCUGUUUAAUCUGAUAAUCAUAUUUUCCUUUCCAUUGUGUGGUUUAACCUUUCUGGUGAACUAUAUGAUCUAAGCAGUAAUAUUCUCCUGCUUAUGUAAACACCUCGGUGUACAACUCUGUCAGUAAGACCCUGUUAUUAUUGUUGGUGACAUUUCGGUAACCACCGAUGGACGAGAACUUUGCCUAAUGGUCCGCCUCGUUUCAACGAGCAGGAAAAUGGUUCUCUUCGUCCCUCGCCCUUGGUACCGACGAUGUUGCUGACAUAUAACUGACAGGCUACCCUCUGCCAUGCCUUGCUAUCAUGAUCGUGCAAGAUAUCACCGCCCUUCCUAUUUUAACCCACAUGGUGGGCCCAUAACCCACAGUUCUACAGGAUCGAAACCUGACUCUCCUGUGCACCCCCUGUUCCCAAAUUUAUUCAUCGCGCGUGGCCUCGUAUGUAAUUCACGGGCCACCGUCCCAAGUGAUCAAUUCUGGUAUCGGACACAAUACUUAUUCCCGUUGCUCUGAACCCCUUUUCACUCUGUUUCAGGCAAUGAACGAUUGCCUAUCCGCUCGAAACUUCUUAUUGCACUGUCCUACUCUGCUCUCGAUGUGUUUCAUUUGUUCAACUCGAGAGAUACUCAUAUGUUCAUUCUUGGGAUAACCCCCCAGAUGAUUUUCCCUAAUAACAUCCUAUCGUUGAAGAGCUGCCCCUUACCUAUUCGUAAGUACGAUGGAGUUCCCCGAAGAAAGGACGACAACAUCAUCAUGAUGCAUAGGAAUAAAGAAUUGAAGACAUCAAUGAAAGGGAUUAACUUCUUCGAGAAGAUCCGUUCUAAUUUCGUAACCAGAACUUUCCCCCUUACCCCACCUCCUAAAUCUCGGGACGAGAUUUCUUGUAGUGGAGGAGAAUUGUGAUGCCCGGAUAAUUAAGCUACAGUAAUCCCUCGUUAACGAUGCCACGUCACCCCGUUACUGUUGAUAAACUCUCGAUGGUUCAGAACCGAAACAAAUUCAAAAUUUAAAUAAAAGCAAACAACAAAAGUUUUCAGAUGUUAAAACUAAAAUGUUCGGAUCGUGACAAAUAUUGCGUAGGUAGUUAUGGUGAAGAAAUAACAUUUUUAUAAAAAGUUUAAAUGCACUUAAAUGAUUAAAAUAGUAGGUAAAACUAUUAAAUGAAUGCCUUUGAUAUUUUAUAAAAUCAUAAACUAUUUUAUCUUGAGGUAAAACUUUUUAGGGUAGUGGGUUGUUUUGGAACACUAAUUUGGAGCUAUUGUCAUGUUUUACUGAACUAAGAAUAAAGUGUAACUAAAAUAAAACAGAAAAGGAAAAAGAACUAAAA